GAUUAAGUUAUUAAGGGCGCACGGUGGAUGCCUUGGCACUAGAAGCCGAUGAAGGACGUUACUAACGACGAUAUGCUUUGGGGAGCUGUAAGUAAGCUUUGAUCCAGAGAUUUCCGAAUGGGGAAACCCAGCAUGAGUUAUGUCAUGUUAUCGAUAUGUGAAUACAUAGCAUAUCAGAAGGCACACCCGGAGAACUGAAACAUCUUAGUACCCGGAGGAAGAGAAAGAAAAUUCGAUUCCCUUAGUAGCGGCGAGCGAAACGGGAAGAGCCCAAACCAACAAGCUUGCUUGUUGGGGUUGUAGGACACUCUAUACGGAGUUACAAAGGACGACAUUAGACGAAUCAUCUGGAAAGAUGAAUCAAAGAAGGUAAUAAUCCUGUAGUCGAAAAUGUUGUCUCUCUUGAGUGGAUCCUGAGUACGACGGAGCACGUGAAAUUCCGUCGGAAUCUGGGAGGACCAUCUCCUAAGGCUAAAUACUCUCUAGUGACCGAUAGUGAACCAGUACCGUGAGGGAAAGGUGAAAAGCACCCCGGAAGGGGAGUGAAAUAGAACCUGAAACCGUGUGCUUACAAGUAGUCAGAGCCCGUUAAUGGGUGAUGGCGUGCCUUUUGUAGAAUGAACCGGCGAGUUACGAUUUGAUGCAAGGUUAAGCAGUAAAUGUGGAGCCGUAGCGAAAGCGAGUCUGAAUAGGGCGUUUAGUAUUUGGUCGUAGACCCGAAACCAGGUGAUCUACCCUUGGUCAGGUUGAAGUUCAGGUAACACUGAAUGGAGGACCGAACCGACUUACGUUGAAAAGUGAGCGGAUGAACUGAGGGUAGCGGAGAAAUUCCAAUCGAACCUGGAGAUAGCUGGUUCUCUCCGAAAUAGCUUUAGGGCUAGCCUCAAGUGAUGAUUAUUGGAGGUAGAGCACUGUUUGGACGAGGGGCCCCUCUCGGGUUACCGAAUUCAGACAAACUCCGAAUGCCAAUUAAUUUAACUUGGGAGUCAGAACAUGGGUGAUAAGGUCCGUGUUCGAAAGGGAAACAGCCCAGACCACCAGCUAAGGUCCCAAAAUAUAUGUUAAGUGGAAAAGGAUGUGGCGUUGCCCAGACAACUAGGAUGUUGGCUUAGAAGCAGCCAUCAUUUAAAGAGUGCGUAAUAGCUCACUAGUCGAGUGACACUGCGCCGAAAAUGUACCGGGGCUAAACAUAUUACCGAAGCUGUGGAUUGUCCUUUGGACAAUGGUAGGAGAGCGUUCUAAGGGCGUUGAAGCAUGAUCGUAAGGACAUGUGGAGCGCUUAGAAGUGAGAAUGCCGGUGUGAGUAGCGAAAGACGGGUGAGAAUCCCGUCCACCGAUUGACUAAGGUUUCCAGAGGAAGGCUCGUCCGCUCUGGGUUAGUCGGGUCCUAAGCUGAGGCCGACAGGCGUAGGCGAUGGAUAACAGGUUGAUAUUCCUGUACCACCUAGGAUAGGCGAAGCGUGCGAUUGGAUUGCACGUCUAAGCAGUAAGGCUGAGUAUUAGGCAAAUCCGGUACUCGUUAAGGCUGAGCUGUGAUGGGGAGAAGACAUUGUGUCUUCGAGUCGUUGAUUUCACACUGCCGAGAAAAGCCUCUAGAUAGAAAAUAGGUGCCCGUACCGCAAACCGACACAGGUAGUCAAGAUGAGAAUUCUAAGGUGAGCGAGCGAACUCUCGUUAAGGAACUCGGCAAAAUGACCCCGUAAC
This 1704-nucleotide ribosomal RNA is filed under the name Enterococcus faecalis. Its description in RNAcentral is "partial 23S ribosomal RNA". It matches the Rfam family "Bacterial large subunit ribosomal RNA", at positions 1 to 1734 of the family's 2925-position model. Lineage: Bacteria; Bacillati; Bacillota; Bacilli; Lactobacillales; Enterococcaceae. The record is from RNAcentral.